GAUGAACGCUAGCGGCAGGCUUAAUACAUGCAAGUCGUGGGGCAGCAGGUUUGUAGCAAUACAGAUGCUGGCGACCGGCAAACGGGUGCGGAACACGUACAGAACCUUCCUUUGAGCGGGGAAUAGCCCAGAGAAAUUUGGAUUAAUACCCCAUAGUAUAAUGAAGUGGCAUCACUUUAUUAUUAAAGAUUUAUCACUCGAAGAUGGCUGUGCGGCUGAUUAGGUAGUUGGCGGGGUAAAGGCCCACCAAGCCUGCGAUCAGUAACUGGUGUGAGAGCACGACCAGUCACACGGGCACUGAGACACGGGCCCGACUCCUACGGGAGGCAGCAGUAAGGAAUAUUGGUCAAUGGAGGCAACUCUGAACCAGCCAUGCCGCGUGGAGGAUGAAGGUCCUCUGGAUUGUAAACUUCUUUUAUAUGGGACGAAAAAAGGCUUUUCUAAGUCGUCUGACGGUACCAUAUGAAUAAGCACGGCUAACUCCGUGCCAGCAGCCGACGG
RNAcentral lists this ribosomal RNA (501 nucleotides) under uncultured bacterium. RNAcentral describes it as "bacterial SSU rRNA". It matches the Rfam family "Bacterial small subunit ribosomal RNA", at positions 28 to 520 of the family's 1533-position model. The record is from RNAcentral.